RNAcentral lists this long non-coding RNA (669 nucleotides) under Rattus norvegicus (Norway rat). RNAcentral's name for it is "long non-coding RNA NONRATT001278". The record is from RNAcentral. Lineage: Eukaryota; Metazoa; Chordata; Mammalia; Rodentia; Muridae.
ACUGAAAGCAAUCCAGCAUCUUGGGCAACUGGAAAAAGAACUUUAUGGGAACUCCGGGCUGACCACACGAAGGAAUAAUAACCAUUUUCCCACUUCCUCUCUCCUGACUAGAUUCUUUUGUUGGAGGAGUGAUUGGCCUCAUUUUUGCCUAUAUUUGCUACAGACAGCAUUACCCUCCUCUGGCCAACACAGCAUGCCACAAACCGUAUGUCAGCCUCCGAGUGCCCACCUCACUGAAGAAGGAGGAGAGGCCUACAGCCGACAGUGCACCCAGCUUGCCCCUGGAGGGGAUCACCGAGGGCCCCGUAUGACGGGUGUCUAAGGAAGAGUGGACGCUGAGCCCCUGGCUCAUUCUUCUACCCUGAUGUCAUAACACAGUAGAACGGAUUUCCUGUCAUGUGAUCCUCUCAUCAGUUACUCCGAAGUCCCCUCAGCUUCCGUUUUGUGGAUGGCGUUCUUGCCACUCUCUAUGUCUCCUUUCAACACUUUGACUUUGUAAAGUUGGGACACCAGGACCAGUCUCUGAGAGACCCAUGCAUAAGGAAGGAGGAUCCAAGGGCGGAGUGGGCAUGCUUGCUCAUGCCGUGAUUCCUUUACCUGAGGUGUUUGCUGUAGCACCCACCCUCCUGUGUUCAUGUUGUGAAACAUAAUAAAGUCCCACCUAGAAGG